This 104-nucleotide small nucleolar RNA is filed under the name Prolemur simus (greater bamboo lemur). Its description in RNAcentral is "Small nucleolar RNA U13 (ENSPSMG00000024157.1)". It matches the Rfam family "Small nucleolar RNA U13". Lineage: Eukaryota; Metazoa; Chordata; Mammalia; Primates; Lemuridae. The record is from Rfam by way of RNAcentral.
AUCCUUUUGUAGUUCAUAAGCAUGAUGACUGGGUUUUCAUGCGCACGCGUGAGAUGUGCCUCCCUCAAACCUUGUUACCAGGUCAGGACAUUACCCAUCUGACA